RNAcentral lists this ribosomal RNA (759 nucleotides) under Triticum aestivum (bread wheat). RNAcentral's name for it is "partial small subunit ribosomal RNA". The record is from RNAcentral. Lineage: Eukaryota; Viridiplantae; Streptophyta; Magnoliopsida; Poales; Poaceae.
AUGAGUAAUACCAGCGGCGCACGGCGUGCCGCAAGGAGGCAAUCGCUGGAUGGAUCUGCUGAUAAAGUUGUUGUGGACUUGGAUGCAAGCUCGCCGGUGGCGGGGAACCAUCAUGGGCUCUCGGUCUUCCCUGGUGCACGCACAUCGCCUAUUGAUGUGGAAGCUCUCGAUGAUGAAGUGCAGGCCCUAUCGCCUUCACAAGUGCCUCCCCCGGGGGUGAACCGGAGAACUAGAGGGCAACCUGUGACACAAUUUUCUCUGGAUGAAGAUGCUGUCCUGGAAGAGAAUUGGAGAAUUAUAAGGCAAUGUGCGACACCAUUUUGUCUUGAUGAAGAUGCUGCCAUGGAAGAGAAUCGGAGAACUAGAAGUCAAUUUUUGACACCACUUUAUCUGGAUGAAGAUGCUGCCCUGGAAGAUAAUGCAGCUAUGCCUUCUCAUAACACGUGGAACAAACGCCAAAGGGUUGCGCCUUUGAUAUGUCUCUCCCCAGAAAGGGAAGAAGGGUCCAGCCUGCAGUCGAACAAUGCGGUGCAAAUUAGCCAAGAGCCUGCUAAGGUGGUGGUUCCAAAGGAACCGAAUUUCACUUGCCCGGUGUGCCUUAACAAGCUGGUGGAGCCUUCGACAACAAAAUGUGGCCAUAUCUUCUGCGCAGAGUGCAUCAAGCAAGCCAUCCAGUUUCAGAAGAAAUGCCCUACUUGCCGCAAGGCCCUGAGGAAGAACAACUUCCAUCGUAUUUACCUUCCGAACUCGGAUGGUUAA